UACAGAGGUCUCGAGCGUUGUUCGGAUUCAUUGGGCGUAAAGGGUGCGUAGGUGGCGGGGUAAGUCAGGUGUGAAAUCCCGGGGCUCAACCCCGGAACUGCAUUUGAUACUGCCUUGCUCGAGUACUGGAGAGGAGACUGGAAUUUACGGUGUAGCAGUGAAAUGCGUAGAUAUCGUAAGGAAGACCAGUGGCGAAGGCGAGUCUCUGGACAGUUACUGACACUGAGGCACGAAGGCCAGGGGAGCAAACAGG
RNAcentral lists this ribosomal RNA (253 nucleotides) under uncultured bacterium. RNAcentral's name for it is "partial 16S ribosomal RNA". It matches the Rfam family "Bacterial small subunit ribosomal RNA", at positions 524 to 776 of the family's 1533-position model. The record is from RNAcentral.